Molecule: ribosomal RNA, 457 nt
Filed under: uncultured Burkholderiales bacterium
Lineage: Bacteria; Pseudomonadati; Pseudomonadota; Betaproteobacteria; Burkholderiales
Description: bacterial SSU rRNA
Rfam family: Bacterial small subunit ribosomal RNA
Source: RNAcentral
UAACGCGGGGCAACCUGGCGACGAGUGGCGAACGGGUGAGUAAUGUAUCGGAACGUGCCCAGUUGUGGGGGAUAACUGCUCGAAAGAGCAGCUAAUACCGCAUACGACCUGAGGGUGAAAGCGGGGGAUCGCAAGACCUCGCGCAAUUGGAGCGGCCGAUAUCAGAUUAGGUAGUUGGUGGGGUAAAGGCCUACCAAGCCGACGAUCUGUAGCUGGUCUGAGAGGACGACCAGCCACACUGGGACUGAGACACGGCCCAGACUCCUACGGGAGGCAGCAGUGGGGAAUUUUGGACAAUGGGGGCAACCCUGAUCCAGCCAUGCCGCGUGCGGGAAGAAGGCCUUCGGGUUGUAAACCGCUUUUGUCAGGGAAGAAAAGACUCCUACUAAUACUGGGGGUUCAUGACGGUACCUGAAGAAUAAGCACCGGCUAANUACGUGCCAGCAGCCGCGGUAAU